UACGUAGGGUGCGAGCGUUGUCCGGAAUUAUUGGGCGUAAAGGGCUCGUAGGCGGUUUGUCGCGUCGGGAGUGGGAUCCACUGGCUUAACUGGUGGCUUGCUUUCGAUACGGGCAGACUGGAGGUAUGCAGGGGAGAACGGAAUUCCUGGUGUAGCGGUGAAAUGCGCAGAUAUCAGGAGGAACACCGGUGGCGAAGGCGGUUCUCUGGGCAUGUCCUGACGCUGAGGAGCAAAAGUGUGGGGAGCGAACAGG
This 253-nucleotide ribosomal RNA is filed under the name uncultured bacterium. RNAcentral's name for it is "partial 16S ribosomal RNA". It matches the Rfam family "Bacterial small subunit ribosomal RNA", at positions 524 to 776 of the family's 1533-position model. The record is from RNAcentral.